Long non-coding RNA from Eriocheir sinensis (Chinese mitten crab), 7389 nucleotides. RefSeq lists it as uncharacterized. The record is from RefSeq and is a predicted model, not a curated record. The transcript has 3 exons. Lineage: Eukaryota; Metazoa; Arthropoda; Malacostraca; Decapoda; Varunidae.
UAUUGGUGUCUGCCACCCCAGUAAUAUAAUUGCUUAGUUUAAAUGAUGCAAUUAAUUGGUAGAUUAAAAGAGCAUAGCUGAUGUAAAAAAAAAUACAAAAUCUGCUCAUCUCUUAACAACAUCAGUUUUCAACAACAUAAUUGUCAGUAUCUUCAUGUUCUCCCAGCUCUGUCAACACUGGGUAAGAAUGGACAAAGCUUCGUUGAUUUUGACCUGAUUAGAAAAUGUGUGGGUGAAACAUGUUCAGAUCAUGUGUGUGCUCAUUCAUGGUCACUCUGCUUAUGUACUUUUUUCAAGUAAAGAAGGCAGUUCAAGGAAAAAAAAUUGAAUCACUAAAAUGCACAAAUAGAGGACAGCUAGAAAGAGCCAAAGAGACUUGGAAAGGCAUCUUGAUCAUCCCCUCUUAAAAGAGUCUUAGGUUGUAGACAGAAAGAAAUACAAACACAGGAAGUCUGUUCCAGAGUUUAUCAUCAAAAAGAAUGAAAAAUGAAGAUGCUCGUUAACUCAUGCAUACAGAAUUAUGAUAGCAAUGGGAUGAAAUAAAUUGAAAGGGGGGUAGACAUGCAGUUACCAAGUUCAGAUGAGCAGUCAGCAUGAACAUUUCAAUAGAAGAUAGAAAGAAAGGCAACAUUGCAGUAGAAUUUAAGAGAUAGAAGACUGUCAGUAAGAGGAGGAGAGCUGUUGAGAUGAAGAGCCUUUGCCUCUACCAUCUAAAGGGGCUGUGUGUGUGGAGCCCCUACACACAUGACAUGCUUACUCCAUAUAAGGGCAGACAAGGCCUUUAUAAUUAUAUGGAUACCAUCUGUGAGGGGGAAAGAGACUGGUGGAUACCAUACAGAAUGCAUAACAUUGAAGCUGAUUUAGCAAGAGAUUAGAAAUGAAGUUUUCAGUCAAGAUUUUGGGUUAACCCUUACAUUACGGCGAUCAUGUAUAUAAGUGCGCUACCACACGCUCCACCUGUACGGGGAUCAUAUAUAUAAUCGUCACACUCUACGCUCCCUACAUUUCAAAUAUACCGCCAGUUCUUGACUCAGAAGAAUGGUGGAGGCAUCUGGCAUCCGUACACUCUCAUUUGUCUCAGCGCGCGGCCCACCGAAGGCCACAGAUCAUUUUCCACUUUUGUUCGGAAUACAUCUGUCAUGUCUCGUGACACAUCAAGCAGUUCCUCUGCUCUGGGCGGAAGUAGAGCGUGGGAGAAUCAAAGUGACAGUGACUCUGAUGACUGCUAUGGUAGUGACAUUGACAGAGGAGGGAGGGGCAAGUAGAGAGAGAGAGAGAGAGAGAGAGAGAGAGAGAGAGAGAGAGAGAGAGAGAGAGAGGUGCUUCCAUGCAACGCGUCACGGCCGCAAGAAAAUGCGCAAUAUUUUCAGCUGUCAUAACUUUUAUUAUUAUUAGGAGAGAAGUUUUAUUACACCACCUUAUAUACUAGACGAAUAUACAAUUAUUGCAAAGAAGAAAGACACCAUUUUCACCUCUUUUAAAUGUCUAAAUUUUCCCCGUGCGCAGCAUCCAGAGAAAUAUAUCGUCACCCGUACUCUACGGGUUAAGGGGGUGCCAGGGGGGGUCCCUCCUGGGCACACAGUAUGUCCUAUGGCUUUGAAAUUUUAGUAUGUUAUUUGUUGGUGUAAAUGUAUGACAUUCUGUGAAUUUCGUGAAAUUUGGGUGAAUGUGUAGGGGAGACUCAAACAAAGCAUAAAAUUUUCUUUUUGUUUCACAGACUAGUUUUUAGUUAAUUGCUUUGAAAAAAAUACCAUAGAAACUUUGUGUAUAUGUCUACAUUUCUCAUUUUGUAAUUUUUUUUUUUUUUUUUUUUUUUUUUUUUUUUUAAAAAUUUUUUUUUUUUUUUUUUUUUUUUUUUUUCACUAAUAAUUUUCUCCACUUUUUCUCCCGUUUUCUUUUUACAUUUUUCAAAAUGUACAAAAUGAGAAAAAUUGCCAUUUAGUUGUAGUUUAUAUGGAUACCUUACAAAAGACUGUCAGAUGUUUUGUCGAUUUUGUGAAAUUUUUGAAGUGUAAAAAAACUAAAUUUUGAGAAUUUGGCUCCUAAAGAUUUUUUUUCCAUUUCAUGUGUCUUGCCAUUUGUAUUCAUUUGAUUGGUAUGAAAUCUUCACAUAUGAUUGUUUAUACCUUGUUCACUUACUGGAGAAGGAUAAGGCAUCUGGUCCCCCUUUAUAAUAAUAAGUAUUAUCACUCAAAUGUGGUGGUGGUGGUGGUGGUGGUGGCGGCGGCGGCGAGGUUGGUGUGAAGAUAGAGUCGUGACGCAUGCUUCUUGCGUUGCUUUCUUGCAUGUUUCCUGGAUCUCCAUUUUGUUCCAGAAGCCUUCUUCAUGUUCAUAAAUCUGCUUAUGGUUGCUUUGCGUUUGUACGUCAUUGUAAAGACAUUUUGGGGUUGUAGCGCAACAAAAAAUUUCAACAUCCUCCCCGGUCAAUGUCUGGGUGAGAACUGAGCAGCAGUGCGCAUUUCACAUUCACCAGCUGUCACGAGUGGAUAGAGGGAUGACAGAUGACAAAAAUUAGAGGGAAAAGACUAUUUCUAAUGUGAAUUUUACGUGUGUACAAGCCCUGAGAAAUACCACAUGUGCUGGCGAGCUAUGACGUAACAGCGCGGGGCAUUUCAAUCUCUUAAAGGGACCCUGUUUUUUAAUAUUCUACGAAAUUUUGCUUCAUUACCAAGUAGUACAUAGCAUCCCCGACAUGCUGAGCGAGAAAAACUAAUUUAGUCAGUUUAAAAGAUAUUCGUCAAAAAAUACUUCCCUGGCAUCCCCCUUAAGGGAAGGCCAAGAAUGUUUGGUGUAGGAGGGGAUAGCUGUGUGUUACUGAUGAAUAAGGGAGAGGUGUUUGGAAGAUUAUGUUUAGUUGUCAGGUGGAGAUUUUGAAUUUUUGAGGUGUUGAAGGACACCAAGCUCCUUCUGGCUCUCUCAGAUAUGAUAGCAAGGUCAGAGGUUAAACAUUCUGUAGCACUCAACUUUUAGUCAUUUAAUUCCUGCUGGGAGUGUCUUGAAGGGUGUACCACCAAAUAAAAAUCAUCUUUAUGUAGACUCCGCUACUGUCACCUUCUUCAGCACUAAACAUCCUCGGUCUAUCCUUAAUUCAAAAUCUCAACUGGAAACUUCAUAUCUCCUCUCUCGCUAAAUCAGCUUCCUCGAGGUUGGGCGUUCUGUAUCGUCUCCGCCAGUUCUCCCCCGCACAGUUGCUAUCCAUAUACAGGGGCCUUGUCCGCCCUCGUAUGGAGUAUGCAUCUCACGUGUGGGGGGGCUCCACCCACACAGCUCUUCUGGACAGAGUGGAGGCUAAGGCUCUUUGUCUCAUCAGCUCUCCUCCUCCUACUGAUAGUCUUCUACCUCUUAAAUUCCGCCGCGAUGUUGCCUCUCUUUCUAUCUUCUAUCAAUAUUUCCACGCUGACUGCUCUUCUGAGCUUGCUAACUGCAUGCCUCCCCCCCUCCCGCGGCCCCGUUGCACACGACUUUCUACUCAUGCUCAUCCCUAUACUGUCCAAACCCCUUAUGCAAGAGUUAACCAGCAUCUUCACUCUUUCAUCCCUCACGCUGGUAAACUCUGGAACAAUCUUCCUUCAUCUGUAUUUCCUCCUGCCUACGACUUGAACUCUUUCAAGAGGAGGGUAUCAGGACACCUCUCCUCCCGAAUCUGACCUUGCUUUUGGCCACCUCUUCUGAUUCUUUUUUUAGGAGCAGCGAUUAGCGGGCUUUUUUUAUUAUUGUUUUUUUUGUGCCCUUGAGCUGCCUCCUUUGUUGUAAAAAAAAUUAAAAAUAAAAAAAAGUUCGUAAAUGUCCAUAUAUGGUUUCCCCGCAUUUAAUGCAUUCCAGACUGAAGUCUACAUAUAGACUCUUGCCAAAUGAAAGAUAUAUAAGAAUCUAUAUAUAAAUGUUUUUCCAUAAUUCUUUCAAUAAAUUAAAUAUAAUUUGCAUGAUGCCCAUGAAUAUGUAUGUAAAGGAGUCAAUCACUCACACCCAUUGCUAUGGCAAUGUCCAGGACUUGUAACCCAGUUGUGGUUUCCCUUCCUUCCUCCAGCUUUCUUCUGCUUGCUUUUAACAUUUUCUGUAUGUAUCUGAAUACAUGUAUUCAUUUCCUUUAGUGAAAGCUGCGUCCUGAGGCAGUAAUGCAUGGAGGAUAACUGACAAAUUGGAGUGGUUCCUGGUUAAAAAUGCCAAAUAACAAAUUAUACAAAUGAUUAUGUAAGAAGAAAGUGUCCAUAUAUAAAUCUUCCCACAAACUAGUGUUGUCUCAUGAGAGCGAACAUCUAUACAUAGAUUUACCAUCAAAUAGUCCCACUUUUGAAGCAUCUUUGUAUGGAUCCUCCACCAAGAAGGGGUCAAAUACGUUGAGUAAUGCAGAACAUAGCCAUCGAAUAGUAGUGGAUAGGACAGUUUGUUUUGGAAAGAUCAUUAAUGAACAAUAAAAAGAGUGUGAGGUAGAACAGAGCCCUGUGGAAUGCCACUGCUUAUAGGUUAAGGGGUAGAAGAGCGAUUAUCUACUGCAGCAGAGAUAGAUCAGCCAGCAAAGAAACUGGAGAUGAAAGUACAGAGAGAGGGUUAGAAUCUGUAGGAGGGUAGUUUAGAAAGCAAAGAUUUGUGCCAGACUCUGUCAAAAGCUAUCAGGAUGCCUAAAGCAAUAAUUAGAGUUUCACCAAAAUGAGAGGAAUCAGUUAGCAAAGCAUAUGUGGAGAAAGGAAUUGCACUACAAUAAAUGUAAAAGGUUAAGUUAGGGGCAUACGCUGUAGCCUUGCACGGCCUCAAUGCUCAUCAGUCUCAUUAACCCUUGAGCCUGUAGUAAGUAAGAACCCAUUACCCCGGGAUACAGGCAGGGCAAAUGUGACAUAUGGGUCACCUCAGUCUACCUCCAACAGGUUUCCCCAGGCACCCAUUUAUCAACCAGCAUGAGAGCAAGGGUGAGCAUUUGGGUGGGCUAUACACAUACUGCCUUUGCAGGGAUUCAAACCUGGGCCCAUGGAUUCGUAACUAGGUAUUGUAAUCACUGCUCCACAGAGACCCAACAGUCAUGCCUCAAUUCUCAUGGUUUGAGUAUUUACAGCAUCACACUUUGGCAGAUUACUCAAGUAAAUUAUAUUGUGUGGAACCACAAAGAAAUCAGAAUGCAGAGUAAAACUUGAGUAACAUAUUCAAUGUUACGGAUGACUGAUGCUAGAUGUCAUCCACAUGUGCAGGAGACACCCGGGCAGAAGGCUGAGUGCUCUUAAGGACUUAAUUAAGCCAGGAUUUACUCUUGGUGGUGCAAUCAAAAUCAUCCGAUCAUCUUGAAUUGUGUCCACUUAAUGGCAUAAUAAUUAAUAUAGUACUUCUGACCAAAAUUCAGCUUUCUACAUUGAAAAAUGAUGACUAUUAAAAGUAUUAUUCUAAAAAUGUUAAAAAUUGCAAUAUUUUGAAGCCUAUCUUCUCAUUACCUAUCAUGUAAUUUGAUUUCAUCUUUCUAGGACAUGUUCUGUGGUCUUGUCCCUUCAAUAUGCUUGGAGGAAUUAAUUCUAAAUUGAUUAGCUGAUUUUUUACAACACUUAUUUUCUCUGACAUAUUUUUUAACUUUCUGAAAUGGAAAAUUGAAUUUCAGGAAAUAUUUUGCAAGCUUACAAUAAAGAUAGGACAAAGUCCUCCAACCAUUAUUUAGGUUAUGGUGUUAUGUGCCCAAAAAUAAAAUUUUCAGUAAAAACUGGGCCCGUAUCCUCACAAGCUAUUAACUUUUACCCUUAAAGUUACUAUCAAAGUUAAUAGUUUCAAUUUAUUAAGAGUAAUAGCUAUCCUCGUCAACUUUGAGUGUAAGUAUUAGCAAAUCCUGGCUACUAUUAUCUUCUUCUUCAUCUUUAUGGCGGGCUCGUUGCUAAGGACGCCUCCGUGCAAAACGUAAACAUCCGACAUGAAUUAAGUAAAUAUUUCAAAAGAAAAAUAAAGAAAACAUGUAUAAAUGUACAACAAAAACAUAAUAAAUGGCAAACACAAGAAAAUACUGAGUUUUGUGGCAGAUAGAAGCAGCCUCAAAGGCUGCUUUUACUUCGUCGCUCGUCAAUACCCUUAUCUCCCCUCCUGCGUCACAACUUGCUCUGCUGAAAUUACAUCUACGACCCGGAGAACCAGCGCAGAAAAGGAGUAAGUUUAAUUGGUCGCCAGAUGAAACGGUCUUCUUACGUCAAAUUCAUGAAAAAAGACGUAUAAUCAGAGGGUGUUAUGGGAAGAGUAUCACCCCUGAGGAUAAGAAGAGAGCGUGGACUGAAGUGGCAGAAGCUGUAACAAGUGCCUUCCCUGGGAGUGGACCCCGUACGCAGGAUGACUGUGAGAGGUGUUGGUACAACGUACAACAAAAAUCAAAGCCUCGCAUUGCCAAGUGCAAGAAUGAGCAGCGGCAGACUGCCCCGCUGCUAUAUUGCUAGAGACCAUCCCAGCACAUUGUUCAUUACUUGUAGAAAAGAUACCAUCAGCUGCUCCGGCAACAGCCACUGCUUCAACAUCUGCUGGCCCUAUGACACCAGCCACUGCUUCAUCAUCUGCUGGCCCAAUGACACCUGCCACUGCUUCAUCAUCUGCUGGCCCAAUGACACCUGCCACUGCAAGGGAUGACGAUGAAGCUGCUCCACCACAGUCACCACCUACUUCAUCGGAGUUAAGAGAUGCCUUUCAUAGGGCAGCAGUAUAAUUUUUUAAUGCUGGAGCUGAAUAUUACUGCCUCAAGGCUAUGAUUUUGUCACUUUUUUUUAUUUUUAUUACUGAGGAGGUUAGGGUGGAAGGGGUGAAAAGAAAUCUCUGCUGUUUUUCGACAGAAAUGGUUAGCAAAUUCAUUCAAAGCACAACAUUUACCAGAAAAAAAAUUGUGUGCCAUUGUGAGUGGGUUCACUUGAGAUUGGGCUCCAAUACACCUCCAUGGUCUAGUGGUCAGCAUGCCUGGCUUCUACACGGGCCCGGGUUCGAAUACCGGCCCGGGCAGUCGGCGUGCAGCUCACCCAGCUGAUCAUCCUCCCUCUUGGGCUAGUCGAUAAAUGGCUACCUGGGGAAACCUGGGGAAACUGUGGUAACCCGGAUGUCACACUGCCCCUGUGUCCCGGGGUAAUGGGCUCCCUCCCACCACAGGCUCAAGGGCCAAUGUUACGGAGAUGAGCACCGAGGCCACGCGCUGCUACAGCGUAUGCCCCAACUUUACCUUUACCUUUAUUGGCUCAACUGACAGAGACAUGGCUUUGUAUGUUGAAGGUCACUGGUUCAAUCCCCACAGCCAGCACUCUCUAACUUGGAUUUUUCUGAGUUCCCUAGAGCCUAGAUUAAUUUCUCGGUGUUUAAUGAGCACAUUUGCACCGGCACCCAGUCAUGGGUGCUACAAGAUACUUUGUUACAAUCAGGGGCAUCAUUUGGACGUCAAAAGUGGGAAGGACAUUA